UGUCCCAUACAGCUUUUGAAUAAGCUUCAAGAUUAUAUAAUCAAACCAGGAAGUAGGUGGGACUUUCAUAGUGUAUUACAACAACAAAGAAGUUACUUCAAACAACGAUCACUGUUUUUUUUUCUCUCUGACAUCAUUGCACAUAAUGGCAUGCGCGAUAGAACAGAAGAGUAUGAACAAAACGUUUUUAUUUUUUUUACCAUGAUGCUGGAUUCUCCUCUGUUUCUUCAACAAAAACCAAACAAAAAAGAAUGCAACGGAGUGAACAGUGGCACUGUUUCACCGUGGGGGGAAUUCAGACCCAGGAUACAGACACGUAACCAUGAUUGACAGAGGAAAAACAGUGAUUCCAACCACCACCCUCCUUUUGAAGCUUCCAGUCUGUUAUUCGAACUCAAUCAGCAUGACAGAGUGAUCUCCAGCCUUGUCCUCGUCAACACUCACACCUGUGUUAACGAGAAAAUCACUGUGUCACGUCCUGACCAGCAGAGGGAGUAAUUGUAUUCAUUUUGGUCAGGACGUGGCAGAAGUAUGAGUAUUCAGGUACCCGCUGCGCCUUGGUCUCAUCUCUUCGACAGCCAUUACAGAACUACCCACCACAACAGGACCAAGCAGCCCCAUUUUUUUUGGGGGGGGGGGGGGGGGGGGUACAAGGGCAGUUUGGUGGGGCAAGGAUGGAGCCCCAGGCCAGCUCCCCGUACCAUUUUUGGGCAGAGACAUACUGGACAGGUCCCGUGCUUUGGGGUGAUGGGUGCUGUGGCGAGGCCGGGUAUUUUCAGGCCGAUACGCGCAGUACCAGCGCCCCGCAUGUGCCAGGGGAAAGUAGGCAUCCAGCCAGUAGGGGUGAUGCCAGCCCUGCGCUCGAGACCGCCAGUGCGCCUCUACGGUCCAGUGUUUCCUGCUACACGCACUAGCCUUGAGGUGCGUGUCUCCAGGCUGGCACGUCCAGUACCAGCCCCACG
Molecule: long non-coding RNA, 962 nt
Filed under: Salmo salar (Atlantic salmon)
Lineage: Eukaryota; Metazoa; Chordata; Actinopteri; Salmoniformes; Salmonidae
Description: lncRNA (ENSSSAG00000115606.1)
Source: RNAcentral